RNAcentral lists this ribosomal RNA (2820 nucleotides) under Triticum aestivum (bread wheat). Its description in RNAcentral is "partial small subunit ribosomal RNA". Lineage: Eukaryota; Viridiplantae; Streptophyta; Magnoliopsida; Poales; Poaceae. The record is from RNAcentral.
AUGGCUACCACCUCCGGCGGCGGGGCCGCCGGCGACCCCGCUGCGUCCUCACCAGCGCCGAGCCAACCACAGCAUCCGACACCCCGCAUCUCUCACAUCGUCCGCACCUACCUCGACCUCUCCUCCAAUUCCAAGAAGCGCCGCGCCGCCCGUAAGAACCAGCUCAAGCCCGGCGGCGUAGAGACUUCCGCCGCCGGAGAAAACAAGGGAUGCGGCCCCUCUGGGGCCGCCUCGUUGGAGCAUUCGCGGCUGCUCCGGGAGCUGGGCAUCCGGGUCUCCCGCUACACGAACGAGGAGCGCCGCGAUAUCAUCACCCGCUACAUGCAGAAGCGGAGCGGCCGCCAGGGCGUUAACCGCGCCGCCGCUAAGGUCCCGUCGAGGCAAGCCCUGGCGGAGCGGCGCCGGAGGAGUGCCGGAGGGCAGUUCCUCGGCAAGGAGGACCUGCAGACUGCAGAUAAACCUGAAGAGAAGGCAGAAGAAGAGCCAGAAUUGCCACCAGAAGUUGUUGCGAACGCUGGAGGAGUGCCCAUAAUUGGAAUGGUCUUCGAGAGUGAAGAGAAAGCAUGCAAGUAUUAUGUUAGUUAUGCAGGAAAUGUGGGAUUUAGUGUCCGAAAAGGAUUGUGGGAUAAAACAGCAAAAAGUGGCAGUAGAUCAAGGUUUUAUGUCUGUUCCAGAGAGGGCUUUCGCGCAAAGAAUUUGCCCAAGAGACCUUGCCCGGAGACGAGGACGGGUUGCCCUGCACGAUUUUCUAUCAUGUUAACGCCCAGUGGAAAAUACCGAGUGACAGAAUUUGUGCAGGAUCAUAAUCACCAGCUUGCUGGUCCAAUUGAUAUUGGAAUGCUGAAGUCGCAAAGAUUAUUGUCCAAGGUUCAAUCUGGAAAUGGAAAUGCCAUAAGCAUUCCUUCAAGGUACAAGAAUUAUCUUCGGACCAAGUCUACAAAAGAUAUGAACGCAGGGGAUUUUGGAGCUCUUACAGAUUAUUUUCGAAGUAUGAAGAGUGAUAAUCCAUCUUUUUACUAUGCCAUCCAGGUGGAUGAAAAUGACAAAGCUGCCAAUGUCUUCUGGGCUGAUGCAAGAUCAAUCUUCGACUAUCAUUAUUUCAGUGAUGUGAUCUGCUUUGAUAUGACCUACAAACUGAAUGACUACAGCAGGCCACUAGCUUUUAUUUUGGGUAUGAACCAUCAUAGGCAAAUGGUCAUAUUUGGUGCUGCUUUCCUGUAUGAUGAAACGGCUGAAUCUUUCAAGUGGCUUCUUGAGACCUUUAAGAGUGCCAUGUGUGGGAAACAGCCAAAGACAAUUUUGACAGAUCGAUCUGCUGCUUUGAAGGAAGCGCUAGACCUCGCUUGGCCUGGUACAGUUCACCGUUAUUGCUUGUGGCAAAUAUACCAGGAUGCAGCUAAGUCCUUGGCGCAUGUUUUCUGUAUUUCAGAAGAAUUCACACAUGAUUUUAGCCAUUGUGUAUUUGAUGUCGAGGAUGGCCAAGAGUUUGUUGAGACAUGGAAUGUGAUAAUGGAGAAAUACAACCUUAAAGAAAACAAAUUGUUAAAUGAGCUUUACGAAGGCAGAGAAAAUUGGGCCUUGCCAUACGGCCGACAAAUAUUCUCUGGGGACAUUAAAAGCAUGGUACGAGCAGAAACCUUAGGCAUAAGGAUGAAAGAAUACUUGGGUUGUGAGAAAGAGCUGUCUCCUUUUUUGAAGUUUUUUGAAAGUUCAGUUGAGAAGAGGAGACAGGAAGAGAUACAAGCUGAUUACCAAGCCAGCCAAAGGGAACCAAGAACACCUCUGCCACUGCUCUGGCAGGCUGCAAACUUGUAUACACCAAUAAAUUUUGAGUUAUUUAGGAAAGAGUAUGAAGAGUGCAUGGACUGUAUGGUUUACGGUUGCGGCGAGUUCGGCUCUCUUUCAGAGUAUAUGAUUACUGUUAAAAACAGAACGAAAGAACAACUUGUGCGGUUUGAUUCAUCAGAUGGCACGGUUGCAUGCACUUGUAAAAAAUUUGAAACUGCUGGAAUUUUAUGCUGCCAUAUAUUAAAGGUAUAUGAACUGAAGAAUGUUAAAGAGAUCCCCCCACAGUAUCUUCUUAAGAGAUGGAGUAAAGAUGCAAAGUUGGGGACCGUUCAUGAAAUCGAUGGGUUUAGUUUUGACAGUCAUAUAGGAUCUUGUGUUCCAGAGCGUUAUGCAGCUCUUUGUCGUUUGUUCUAUAAGAUUGCUUCUAAGGCUGCAGCGAACGUAGAGACAUUUUCAAUGGUCGCAAGCCAGUCGGAUCAACUUAAUGAAGGAAUUGAACGAACUUUGCAAUCAACAUUAGCUGCUAAGUCAUCUGUUGUCCAUUCCAUCAAGGAUCAGUUAACUCGUAUGGCUCAAAAUGAUUAUCCCCUUGGUAAUAGCAGUGAGGCUCAGAAAUCUACCGGAAAGAAGAUGAGUGAAGUUACUCAUCGUGGAAAUUGUCAGGAAACCAAUAAAAGGCAGAAACAAAGAAGAGGGCAUUCUGGCGAAGCAGCUGCAGGACCAAGGGAAAGGGAAGUGAAUGUUACGGAUCAGUUCCUACCAGAUCAACUAAUGCAGGGACAUUAUGUACUUGGCCAUAACUUUGGUAUUAGUACCUCACAGAACAUUCGUGACGAUUUGAACCAAUUUGGUCAGGCUUCUGCAGUUCCAAUCCUGCAACAGCAGCCAUUCCCUGGGAAUGGUCCACUAACCGAAACCCAAGCCUAUACUGGUGACAUGCACGCAUUGCAAUUCAUGGAGACGAAUCCCCAGAUCGACCAUGAGAAUGGAGAGGAGGGUCAGUCGUCGAUACCGGUGUGGGAUUUUCUAUGA